This 2147-nucleotide long non-coding RNA is filed under the name Salvia miltiorrhiza (redroot sage). Its description in RNAcentral is "long non-coding RNA (SMIL_LNC008682)". The record is from RNAcentral. Lineage: Eukaryota; Viridiplantae; Streptophyta; Magnoliopsida; Lamiales; Lamiaceae.
AAAUAUACAGUCACCUCCACAAUUUGGCUAAAUGGUCUGUUAGCAUAAUUCGUGCCAGAAUAUAUCUAAAGAAGAUCCAACUUAUACGUACUAUUAUAAUAUUAAGAUAUAUGAUCAUCUCCAAUGCAGUUGCAAAAGCCAAUGUUAAUGUGUUUAUGCCAAUUAUACAACUUGGCCAAGAGUAAAGAAAAGCAUUAUUAAAAUAAAAAUAUACGUAUCAACAAAACAGUUGAUAAAAUUACUACAAUUAAGAUUUAUUUACUUAAGAGGAAAUAGUGCGGAGUACACAUCCGAUCCAUCACUCACACAUGAGAAAUAGUGCCACCCAAGUCCCGCACGCUGAUACUGUCGGAUCUGGACGUCAACACACCUCCCUNCUAUCACUAGAAGGGUGUAUAUGCACCUUUUCCCUAUUAUUAAUCGACGAUUCGCUUAUCUAUUUAUAGUUACCAACUGUAAACGAAGUUCUUAAGAAUUUAUCUUUGAUCGAACAACUAGCAUAUAAUAUUAGCCCACAUUUGAUUGGGUGUUUUUAGAGGUUGGAAAGGGAUUCAAUUAGUUGAAUCCAUUACUUAUUGUUUGGUUUGGAUAAUUAGGUAAUCAUUACCCUUACUUGAGAGUAACUCAAUCACCCAAUUUAUUACAUCUCAAAAUAGAGGGGAAACAAAAGAAAUUAAAUCACUUACUAAUGAUUCUUUUUCAUUAUUAAAUCAAACAUUCAAUAUAAGUAAUGAUUAUUGUUACCAUUUCACUCAUUUAUUUAAUUAUAUUCUUUUUUCAUUCAUUUAUUUGAACCAAACGAGCACUCAAUUGAUUCAAUUUUUUGAGCUUAAUUCCUACUCUUCUUUGCCCAAAUGAAAGCGCUAUGCUUAUCGUUCCUGUAAAUUUAGGAGAAGUUUAUUAUUUAAACGUUUUUGUUUUAUUCCUUUAAAAAUAUCAAUUUUGUUUUAUUCAAUUCGUGGGCUUUAAAAGUGUUAAAAGAAAUUAAAGAGAAAAACGACGCCAUAAUUGUUGGUCAGCAAUUCGUCAUCUUACAAAUGAGCGACCGCCACGUAGGGCAAAACCAAAUUGACGCCGCCACAGCCACUUCCGUAUUGUCCAAUAAAUUUGAACCCACAUUAAUUAAACCCAAAUUAUUCCAAUACUUUAUUGAAUAGUAUCAUAGAAUAUACAUAUGAGGCUGAAACCCCUACGUUAAAGUGAUACUAAAAAUUAUAGUUUCAGGACUCACUAAAGUUUCUUUUUGAAAGUUGCUUUGUUGAUUCACCUUUAACUUCACCGCACUGUGUAAUAAUAUCAGAAUCAAAGCAGCGACCCUAUCUAUUUUUAGUAUUCAAUAUAUAUUGUUGAAACAUAAUAAUUGAUCCGCCAUCUACUACAAUUUUGGAUAAGUUUUCAAACUUCAUAAUAAUUAUUAACAAAUUUAAUGCUGAUGGUGGUAUAUAUAUCUGUUUUGGAUCAUAAAGCGAUGCAUAUCUUUAAUUUUACUUGUCAUUUGCCAAGAUUCCGGUCCAAAAUACAAUUUGGCUAAAUGGUAUGCAACCUCUUAACUUGGCCAAGAGUAAAGAAAAGCUUGUAGAAGUAGCAUUAUUAAAAUAUAAAUAGACGUAAUUACAAUCAAAAAACAGUCGAUAAAAUUACUACAAGAUUUAUUUACUCGAGGAAAUAGGUACUCAUCCAUCAACUAAAAACGAAAACACACUGAUCACUCAUACAUGAGAAAUUAAAUAAAAAAGGAGGUAGGGAUACAUGCAUAUAUAAUCAUGUGAAAAAUAAACUUAUUUUGCACAUAAUUACUAACGAUUAGCCGCAGAAUAUCCGGUCCAAUCAGCUACGAUGUUCUUGAGCACUUCUCCCCUCUGACUAGGCAGAUUCUUCCAAUUAGCUCCGCCCCCCGGCGGCGGCUUUCUCGGUUGAGUGCCGCCGUUGACGGGGGGCGGAGGGUUUUGCUGAGCGGCUCCUCCCCUAGUGUUUUGCCCAUUCUCACUCAUAUUUCCCACUCAAAGGCGAGUUGAUGAAUUUUGUUGUGGGGAAAUAUGUAUAUAUAUAUAGAAGAGGGGGUGGUUAUGAUUCUAUGUGGAGCAUUCCCCAGUAGUUAAGCACGCUUGCUGUGAGAUGCAAUUAGGUGUCGCCACGUUCACUUUUCA